GCGCGAAAACUUUACAAUGCGGGAAACCGUGAUAAGGGAAUCUCGAGUGCCAGCAUAUAAUGUUGGCUGUCCAGAUGCCUAAAAAGCAUCUGUUAGCAAGGGCCGGGCAAGACCGGUGCCAGCCGCCGCGGUAACACCGGCGGCCCGAGUGGUAACCGCUUUUAUUGGGUCUAAAGGGUCUGUAGCCGGCCAAGUAAGUCCCUUGGGAAAUCUGGCAGCUUAACUGUCAGGCUGCUAGGGGAUACUGCUAGGCUUGGGACCGGGAGAGGUGAGAGGUACCUUGGGGGUAGGGGUGAAAUCUUGUGAUCCUCGGGGGACCACCAGUGGCGAAGGCGUCUCACCAGAACGGGUCCGACGGUAAGGGACGAAAGCUAGGGGCACGAACCGGAUUAGAAACCCCAG
This 402-nucleotide ribosomal RNA is filed under the name uncultured bacterium. RNAcentral describes it as "bacterial SSU rRNA". It matches the Rfam family "Archaeal small subunit ribosomal RNA", at positions 339 to 741 of the family's 1478-position model. The record is from RNAcentral.